RNAcentral lists this ribosomal RNA (495 nucleotides) under uncultured bacterium. RNAcentral's name for it is "bacterial SSU rRNA". It matches the Rfam family "Bacterial small subunit ribosomal RNA", at positions 28 to 537 of the family's 1533-position model. The record is from RNAcentral.
GACGAACGCUGGCGGCGUGCCUAACACAUGCAAGUCGAACGAGGUCCAUGCAGUGGCAACACUGCGGAAGACCUAGUGGCGAACGGGUGAGUAACACGUGAGGAACCUGCCCCGAAGACCGGGAUAACUCUCCGAAAGGAGCGCUAAUACCGGAUGCCCCACCGAACCGCAUGGUUUGGUGAGGAAAUGGAUUCCGCUUCGGGAGGGCCUCGCGGCCUAUCAGCUAGUUGGUGGGGUAACGGCCCACCAAGGCAUCGACGGGUAGUUGGUCUGAGAGGACGAUCAGCCACACUGGGACUGAGACACGGCCCAGACUCCUACAGGAGGCAGCAGUGGGGAAUCUUGCGCAAUGGGCGAAAGCCUGACGCAGCAACGCCGCGUGGGGGAUGAAGGCUUUCGGUUGUAAACCCUUUCAGCAGGGACGAAUCAAGACGGUACCUGCAGAAGAAGCCCCGGCUAACUACGUGCCAGCAGCCGCGGUAAAGUAGUGACUGU